UACGGGGGGGGCAAGCGUUGUUCGGAAUUACUGGGCGUAAAGGGCUCGUAGGCGGCCAACUAAGUCAGACGUGAAAUCCCCAGGCUCAACCUGGGAACUGCCUUCGAUACUGGCGAUCUCGAGUUCGGGAGAGGUGAGUGGAACUGCGAGUGUAGAGGUGAAAUGCGUAGAGAUCGGGAGGAACAUCAGUUGCGAAGGCGGCUCUCUGGACCAGCACUGACACUGAGGCACGAAAGCGUGGGGAGCAAACGGG
Molecule: ribosomal RNA, 253 nt
Filed under: uncultured bacterium
Lineage: Bacteria
Description: partial 16S ribosomal RNA
Rfam family: Bacterial small subunit ribosomal RNA
Source: RNAcentral